Mya arenaria is the source of this 1078-nucleotide long non-coding RNA. RefSeq lists it as uncharacterized. NCBI's taxonomy places the organism in Eukaryota, Metazoa, Mollusca, Bivalvia, Myida, Myidae. The transcript has 3 exons. The record is from RefSeq and is a predicted model, not a curated record.
AACACAGCCAACCCCAAAAAAAACAACAGCAAACAAGUGAGCAAGCUGACAAAGCUGCAACUUCAGGGAGCAAUUAUAAGGGUCAUCAAGAUGGAGCCAGGAUUCAUGAUGCUCGUAUUAGAGGUGCUGGACCAGAGUCUGAGGAAGGGAGUAGAACUCCAAGCUGGUUUGAGUGUGCUUCAACUGCCGGGACAUUUCAAUGCAGAGUUAAAAAGUUUGUUGUCGCCGGGAGGCCAGUCUUUCUCAAACUGCUGACUCUGACCUCCUUGUUUUGAAUGAAGAAGUUCUAACCCUUGCCCAUUUGAUGAGGCAGGAUUUCUUGUGUUCAUUGAUGAGGAGGACCAGGUGCAACCCAACCGCUACUAGGCGACUUAUAUUGUGUUCUGACACAGAGUUAUUUUUGGGCUGGUGACAAGAGGGCUAUUCCCUUAUGUUGUGUGGAGAGUCCAGGAAACCUUCCCGAUUCCCUAAGAACAAUACACUGGCCUUGUGCAAAGGAGGGUUCAGUAGAUGAUCACAAUUUUUGCAGACGGAUCGUAUCUGUUCUCUUGAUUUUCUUAAAUAUUAAAAUAUGAUAUAAACAAUAUCAGGUCAUUUUUGUAUACUUUUGUGAAUGACUUGUUAUUUUAUAAAUACUGAUUUGUACUGUCUUUGGUUGCUAAACUGUCAUUAAGUAAUUAUCUCGUUUCAAUUUGAAAGCCAGAAAACCUGCAUGUUAUGUAUACUCAUGUUAUUGUUUAUAUUUAUGCCCCCUCCGAGGAAGAGGGGUAUAUUGCAUUGCACAUGUUGGUCGGACGAUUCGCAGCUUUGUUGGUAGACCAAAGCUUGUCUAAGUGAUAACUCAACAACUGAAGGACAGAUGGUUAUCAAACUUGACAUGAAUGUUGGGCCUGACCAGUAGAUAACCCUAUUGAUUUAAGGGGUCAUCAGGUCCAAGUUCAAGAUCACAGUGGUAAUGGUAUAAAGUUGUUAAAGCUUGUCCGAGAAAUAACUAAAAAAUACCUGAACGUACGGUAUGGUUAUCAAAUUUGACAUGGAGGCUGGGCCUGAUUAGUAGAUGACCCCUAUUGAUUUUAGG